RNAcentral lists this ribosomal RNA (235 nucleotides) under uncultured bacterium. Its description in RNAcentral is "partial 16S ribosomal RNA". It matches the Rfam family "Bacterial small subunit ribosomal RNA", at positions 96 to 334 of the family's 1533-position model. The record is from RNAcentral.
UGGCGGACGGGUGAAUAAUGUCUGGGAAACUGCCCGAUGGAGGGGGAUAACUACUGGAAACGGUAGCUAAUACCGCAUAACGUCGCAAGACCAAAGAGGGGGACCUUCGGGCCUCUUGCCAUCGGAUGUGCCCAGAUGGGAUUAGCUAGUAGGUGGGGUAACGGCUCACCUAGGCGACGAUCCCUAGCUGGUCUGAGAGGAUGACCAGCCACACUGGAACUGAGACACGGUCCAG